RNAcentral lists this ribosomal RNA (938 nucleotides) under uncultured bacterium. Its description in RNAcentral is "bacterial SSU rRNA". It matches the Rfam family "Bacterial small subunit ribosomal RNA", at positions 8 to 917 of the family's 1533-position model. The record is from RNAcentral.
AGAGUUUGAUCCUGGCUCAGAAUGAACGCUGGCGGCGUGCUUAACACAUGCAAGUCGCACGAGAACUCUUCUGCUUGCAGAAGAUAGUAAAGUGGCGCACGGGUGAGUAACGCGUGGGUAAUCUACCUCUGAAUUGGGGAUAACAUUGUGAAAGCGAUGCUAAUACCGAAUAAUAUCCCGAGAACUUAGGCUUUUGGGAUCAAAGGUGGCCUCUACAUGUAAGCUACUGUUUAGAGAUGAGCCCGCGUACCAUUAGCUUGUUGGUAGGGUAAUGGCCUACCAAGGCAACGAUGGUUAGCUGGUCUGAGAGGAUGAUCAGCCACACUGGAACUGACACACGGUCCAGACUCCUACGGGAGGCAGCAGUGAGGAAUUUUGCGCAAUGGAGGAAACCCUGACGCAGCAACGCCGCGUGAGUGAUGAAGGCUUUCGAGUCGUAAAGCUCUGUCAAGUGAGAAGAAUCUACUUUUUGUUAAUACCAAUAAGUACUGACGGUAUCACUGAAGGAAGCACCGGCUAACUCCGUGCCAGCAGCCGCGGUAAUACGGAGGGUGCAAGCGUUAUUCGGAAUUAUUGGGCGUAAAGGGCGCGUAGGCGGUCUUUUAAGUCAGAUGUGAAAGCCCGGGGCUCAACCCCGGAAGUGCAUUUGAAACUAAGGGACUUGAGUAUGGGAGAGGGAAGUGGAAUUCCUGGUGUAGAGGUGAAAUUCGUAGAUAUCAGGAGGAACACCGGUGGCGAAGGCGACUUCCUGGACCAAUACUGACGCUGAGGCGCGAAGGCGUGGGGAGCAAACAGGAUUAGAUACCCUGGUAGUCCACGCAGUAAACGGUGAACACUAGGUGUAGCGGGUAUUGACCCCUGCUGUGCCGCAGUUAACGCAUUAAGUGUUCCGCCUGGGGAGUACGGCCGCAAGGUUAAAACUCAAAGGAAUUGCCGGG